UUUGCAAGUGACGACGAAACAGACAGGGACAUCUGCACUCCUCAUGGAGGUUGAAGACUUGUCUUUGGGAAUCUCUCUGAUGCAUU
Molecule: small nucleolar RNA, 86 nt
Organism: Nymphaea colorata (pocket water lily)
Lineage: Eukaryota; Viridiplantae; Streptophyta; Magnoliopsida; Nymphaeales; Nymphaeaceae
Product: small nucleolar RNA R44/J54/Z268 family
Exons: 1
Source: RefSeq, a predicted model, not a curated record